Molecule: long non-coding RNA, 474 nt
Organism: Trematomus bernacchii (emerald rockcod)
Lineage: Eukaryota; Metazoa; Chordata; Actinopteri; Perciformes; Nototheniidae
Exons: 3
Source: RefSeq, a predicted model, not a curated record
UAGUGACUUCACCAGGCAAAGCGCAAUAUUGAAAGAAAAACGGAAUAGGAUUACCUCCAACCACAUGCGUGAUGCAAUUGUGUCAUCCAGGCCCUAUCAGGAAGCUCUGCUCGAUUUAUUCUAGCUGUUAUUAUCUUAAGAACUGAGCUUUUCGUGCUUUAUAUCGGCUAAAGAAAGCCCCGAGGAACAAGUGUGUCGAUGGGAGAACCAGCAGCAACGAGGUGGACAAUGACAUCUAAUCUGUGAUUCACCGUGUUCUUCUGUGAGCGGGGCAGUGAGGUGGACAGCAGGCCUGUGCCAGUGAAGGAUUAAACACUGUCAUCACCCUCUCCUCCCCCCGGUGCUCAACACUCUUCCAUCACCCACGACAGCAGGUCCCAGUCCUCCCAAACUAAGGCCAAACACAUGCCAAACUGCAGAGGGACAGACAGAUAUUCUUUGGAGAACAGACCAAACAACGACAUCAAGACAGCU